UACGUAGGGUCCGAGCGUUGUCCGGAGUUACUGGGCGUAAAGCGCGCGCAGGCGGUCCGUCAAGCAUGGCGUGAAAGCCCCCGGCUCAACCGGGGAGGGUCGUCGUGGACUGGCGGACUUGAGGGCGGUAGGGGCUGGUGGAAUUCCCGGUGUAGUGGUGAAAUGCGUAGAGAUCGGGAGGAACACCCGUGGCGAAGGCGGCCAGCUGGGCCGACCCUGACGCUGAGGCGCGAAGGCGUGGGGAGCGAACGGG
Molecule: ribosomal RNA, 253 nt
Filed under: uncultured bacterium
Lineage: Bacteria
Description: partial 16S ribosomal RNA
Rfam family: Bacterial small subunit ribosomal RNA
Source: RNAcentral